RNAcentral lists this long non-coding RNA (11597 nucleotides) under Daucus carota (carrot). RNAcentral describes it as "long non-coding RNA (DCAR_LNC002090)". The record is from RNAcentral. Lineage: Eukaryota; Viridiplantae; Streptophyta; Magnoliopsida; Apiales; Apiaceae.
UGGAUUUAUAGCACCCUUCGAGGUAUUUAUCAAUAUACAGAUAUACCUUGGAAAAUAUUGUGUGUUGGUUUAAUAUUUUCAUAUCCUCAGAAACCGACCCAAUAAAUAUCCGGAACACGAAACCCAUUACAGGACUGCAAUUUAUUUAUCCGCAAGAUUCGAAAGAAUUUUAAAUUGUAGUGAGUAUCGUAUUCAACCCCCCUUCUACGAUACUUUGGACCUAACAAUUGGCAUCAGAGCCAGGCUGAUUGAUAUACAAAUCAGGAUCCUUAUCGUACGGAAAAUCAAGAACCUAGCUUUUGAUAUUUGAUUAGGGGAAAUGUUCUUCCGGUUUGUGUUGCUAAAUUUGUCCGUAGGCCUAAGCAAGGAUUAUCCGUCGGAUACUGAACUUUGGACCGGGACUUAUAAAUUUAUACUUUAAAUUUUAAUAAGUUUAUUUUAUAAAUUUAACUUAAUUUAUUUUAAACUUAUUAAUUGAGUUUAUUAUGAAUUAAUUAAAUUUAUCUUAUAAACUUAAUUAAAUUUACUUUAUAAACUUUGCUAAAUUCAUUUAAUAAAUUUGCUUAAAUUUAUUUUAGACUUGUAAAGUUUACUCUUAGACUUUAUCAAGUUUAUCAUAAAUUUUUAUAAAUUUAUUAUUUAAAUUUGUAUAGUUUAUGAUUUAAAUUUAAGUUAAAAUAUAAAAUAUAAAUUUAAGAGGAUUUAACUGAUUAUGGAUAUAAGUUCAAGUUCAAGGGUUCAAUUUCGUUUGUUCUGGAAGCUAUGAUUUAAUUGGAGACGAGACACUUGAAUAUUUUCAAAAAUUAAAUUUAUCUAAUAAAUUUUAAUAUAUUUACUAAAUGAAUUUGAAAUAAAUUUAUUCUAAACUUAUUCAGUUUAUUAUGAAUUUAUUUGAAUUUAUUUUUUAAAUAUAAUUAAAUUUACUUUAUAGAUUUAACUAAGUUUAUUUUAUACUUUAUUUUCUUUCAUCUUUUAAAACUUAUUUUUAAAUUUAUUUUCUUUAUAAUUUAAACUUAGUUUAAAUAAUCAAGUGUCCCGUAACCUUUUUAAUUAUUCUACUCCAAGACAAAUCAAAUUGACAUUUAGUUGAGACAGAUCAGGCUGACAGAUUACAAGACAAACACCGGGCUUUCAAAUACCAGAUUCUCAGAACCGGUAAUGGAAGUACAUUGAUGACCCAAUCCAAUUGAUUUCUCAAAGGAUUAUUAGAAGCAGUUUUCUAUGUUCGACAAAGCUGAUUGUGAUUCGAAGAAGAUUCUAUUGAAGACUAAUUUGGUACUACUAAAAGUGGAUUUUGAAGAAGGUACUUCAGGCCUUGAUCUGAGUAAUUACUCCGACUUGAUUAUCAGAUCACCAGAUCAGGAUGGGAAUUUGCUACAUCUACAAUGAAGCAUCUUUCCAGGGCUCGGAAUGUCAACUUUGAAUGGCACCACUAGUAGUAGGAAAAGAGAAGUUUUUGCAGAAGAAUCUUCAAGGGAUUUCAAUCUAACUCAGUGAUUCAGGGAUAUACAAUUACACAGUGAAUUGUAUCAAUGCUAAAUCCAUCCAGAAUCAACUGAACCAAAGACAGAGAACUGUGGAGGUUUAAGGAUAUAAUUAUCGAGUUACUACCGCACCAAAUCAGUUUCGUGCAUUUAUGUCAGAACCUUAGGAUUGAACAGAAGAGUUUGUAACUGCUGAAUUUGAGGAAGCUCAAGUCGACGAAAGUUAACACUUUUGAAGAAUGUGAGGACAGAACUUCAAGGAUUAGCAUAACACUGUCUGAGAGGUUUAGUCAUGUCAGAUUCAGAUGGAAUCCAUUGGUUUCAAGUGGAGACUCUUCGGGGUUCAGUUCGACAGGUUGUUUGAAAACUGAGUUGGUCAGUACACACAAUAUUGUUUGGUAUCUUUAGCAAAGAAGGGUUGCUAUAUAUAUUGAAGCCUCGACAAACAAGGAUGAUAGGGCUUGUCUGAAAUUCAAGUGGAUGUUUUGAAAGAAACAUCACAACAAGUUCUUAUGCUAUUUUAGGAAAGGUGUGAGCUGGAUCAGUUGCUGAUGAGAAGGAUGAUUAUGGUUAUCUGGCUAUCCUAGCAUUCUCUGAAGAUGACUCAACUCGCACAUCUCAGGUACGAAUUCUUUCUAACUAUGCAAUACAUAUUUCUUUAUAUUCAAAGCAUGUUAUAAAUCUCUGAGUAGAAUUGUUUAACACACAAGCACAAGCAUGAUAGCAUCACAAUAGAUAAUGUUGAACUAGUAUGCUAGAUCACUGUUCUGGUAACUAGGAUUGAUGAUAAUCUUGUGCAUGUGUCUUUAGCAGAUUCUUAACAUGUGUAUGAAUAUUUAGGAUUUGAUUAUUUGCAAUGGUGAGAUUAGAAGCUUUCCUUUGGAACACGACUCUUAGUUUUAGGGGUUAUGAUCCUAGCAUGUAUAACUUUGUUAAAACACUUACUUUCAGAUUCCCUAGUACAAUUAGAUUUGCUUAUCUAAUCUGAAUUGUUUGUUAAGGAUUUUAUUUUGUUCUAUGAUGGAAUGUCUACCUUGUGUCAGUAGAACUUUUAGAACUUCAUGUUAGAUCUAAAACUGACUUAGGUAAUAGAGAUAGUAUAAUGCCAUAUAACAACAGAUUGGGAUUAGUAUGAAUUGAUAAUGUGAUUAUUAAUUUCUUGUGUCUAAUCCAUAUGCUUUUCGAAGAUUAUUGAAUAUAUGUAAUUCUACUUGCUACCUGUUGCACUUGUGUUAAUUGGUUUAAGUAGAGAGUACUGAAUCUUCUGAAUUGCAUAACUGCCUGUCUUGCUCUUGUCUUAUCUUUGAUUGUUUGCCAUGUGUAUUCAACAUCAUGUCUGCUUAUUUUCAUGUCAUGAAUGCAUGUCUUUGUACUUGCAUUGAUUUUAGAAAAGCAUGUUUGAGAAUCACAUUAGGGCAAUGUCUAGAUAAGAAUUAGCAUGUUAAGGUUGCUUCUGUUGUUACCACUGUUAAAGAAAAAUCUCUAAUCCAUCCGGACCCAGUUAUGAUUGGGGACCAUAGAACUCUUUCCAUUUGUGAUUGCAGGUUACAUAUGUUCCAUAUGAUUUUUGGUGCACUCUGUUUGCUGAGUAGCUGAAAUCAUAUGAUUCACAAAAAGUACCCUGUUAGCAAAUGUGAUCGUGUGAGCAGUUCCGUCAAUAAUCUUUGAAAGAUGACAACAAAGAUUCUCUUGCGGGACAUGCCUGUUUUCCUGGAAUGUCAUCAUGGAAGCAUAUCUUUCUUGGAAGAGUCAAAGCACACAAAUUCCUAGUAUCAGACUGUUCUCUAACAAAUGACAGUAUGUCAGUUCAUGGAAUAGUGUUUUAUCUCAAAUCAGGAAGGAUGUGAAUUUUGCUCGUAGCUAAUAUGGAACUUCAACUGAAGAUGGAGUGAGCUGUUUUGAUAGUGAAGCCUCAUCAGAUGAGUAUUAGCUAUGGCACUUGAAGCUCUCGCACUUGUAUGUCAAAACAAGGAGCUCUUUCUAUUCGUAAGAAGAGAAUUGGUGAGAGGACUACCUCAUCUGGAAUUCAAUAUGGAUGAAGCUCAUGAGGUAUGUCAAUAGGGAAGUCGAAGGAGCAUCGCACAGAAGCAAAGAUAUGACUAACAUUACUGAGCCGCUUCAGAUGAUACGUAUGGAUUUCUACGGAUCAGCUAAUGUCAUGUCUGCAAACAAAGCUAGAUAUCUUUUUGCGAUGAUCAUUGACUGCUCUAGAUUCUUUCGUGUUGUUCGUAUGUGUUCGAAGGACGAGACGUCACAAAUGAAGGUUGAUCAAGAUGAACCCUGAUCAUUGAUAAAUCCAGAAAGACACCAUUUUUGCCAGUGGCCAAUCAGAAGCAAACACUAACUCUUGGUAUGUGUUUGGAGGAAAAUGCCUCUUUACAAGUCUUGCAUUUGAAGAUCAAAGAAUAUUUUCCUCGGCUACUCUAUGGAGUCUACAGUCUACAGGGUGAUUGUGAUUAAUCAACAGAAGGUGAUUGUAAGUCUGGACAAGAGAUUGAACGACACUUUGCUCCAAGCUGUUAAAGGUGAUAUUAUUGGUUUAAUAAUGAUUCAGAUCCAAGCAGAAUCUCUUUGCAAGGAUAAGGAUUAUUAAAGAAAUCCCAGCAACAGCUUAGGGGGAGCAUUUGGUGGAUCCACUAGUCAAACUCAACACCACAUUGAAGAUGAACAGGACAUAUCAAGAACGUAUCUGCUUAGACAAAGGGUUUGGAGUCAAUAUCAUUCCCGGGUUCUAGUUCUUAAAUGUUCCGAAUGGUGAAGUGAAGACUAGGAGAGCUAUUGUGAAAGGAUGUUGUUUCUUUGGGUUUCAAUCUGAAGUGAAACUUGAGGAAGAUUCAGAAGCUCUUAAAGGGAUCCAGAUUGAGUGAUUGCACAACAAGAUGAUCUCAAUCAGUUUGAAAGCAGAUUGUGCGGAUUCUGAUACCCUGACCUAAAGACAAUUCAGUACUUAGUACUUGUCGGGUAUUCAGAUUCCAACUGGAUAUUUUUGGCUCUGUUACGAGGGACAAGCCAAUUUGGUUGCUUAGAGUUACUACAAAGGAGAAGGUUAUGAAGAUGAUGGAAACAGAAUCUUCAAGUUCAGGACUCUACAUCUUAGGGGACUCAACGACCUUCAUGAUUGAACUAAAGCACCAUUGACGAGACUCGGGUUCAGGAUAUUACAGUGAGCUAGAAGAUGAAGCUUCAUGCAACAUUUCAAGGACUUUGCAGUUGCAGAUCCAACGGAAUUUGUAUUCUCUUUCUUCACCAGCUCUCUAUGAGUUGCUAUCCAACACCUGAUGAUCGUCACGGACAUGGUAUGACUUCUGACUAGCAUAUUAUUUUAAUAUCUGUUUGCUAGAGUCAUAUUUGGUAUCCAAAUUAUUACCUCUCAUGAUACAAGGCACACACAAUACAACUAUCUGUGCUGUGAUACCAUGAUUAUAUUAUAUGUGGACUAACGUCACUUGUGCAAGAUAAUUGCUAAGUGAAUGCAGAUUAGUGAUAUGAUGAGUUUGUUGGAAAGUUGCAAUUCUUUAUGGUCUACUAGUUAGCCUAAAGAAUGAUGGCAAUAAAAGGAAGUCAAGGAUCUUUUGAAUAUGCGCAUUUUGGAAGAUUCUAGACCUGCCAAGACUUAUGCCAACAACCACUGGACUUGAUCAGUACAAGAAAGGUACAUCAACUGAAAUGUCAAGUCUCAGAGGUAUUCAACUUAUCACUUUACUUAACUGCAAGUAGAUCACAUACUAUAUUUUCUAUAAGGUAUUACUUCUUUCAUGAGCAUGUCUAUCGUAUUUCUUGAAUGAAUUCAUGAGUAUUAAAUUGUCUAUACAUAGGACUUGUGAAUUUAUUUAAAAUCCAGUACCUCGUGCUUUUUGCUAUUAUAUGUGAUUGCCAUGUUUAUUGCUUUGCAUGCUUAGAUGGUGAUUAUAUGUUUUAGCAUGAGUAUUUGUUAUUUCAAAUUAUUUAAAUUGUGUUGCAUGACAAUUAAGUGACUUAUUUGUUCAUGAUUUAAAUGAUUAGAGAUGACAUGAAGCAUGACUUAAUUAUGUUAUUUCUCUUGAUCUAUACCUCUUCAACAAUUGGUAUCUAGUAGAGAACUUUGUCAUAAUCUAGUCGUGAUAUAUCUGUAUUUGUGAACAUACUUAGGAUUAUUUUCUAGGUUGAAUUCAUUUUUAUAGGUAUAAAAUCUGAAGCAUGACUUAUUUGUUUCUAGACUUGUGACUUGUAUCAGUAAUUGGUAUGUGGUUAGAAUCUAGUUAGAAUUUAGUCAUGAUAUACUAGUAUUUGUGGAGUUACUUAGAUUCUCUCUAGGCUGAAUCCAUUUAUAUUAGUGUAUAUACUUGAAGCAUAACUAUUUGUGUUGGAUAUUUGAUGAUUUAUUAAUUGAUAUUUUAUUUCAUGUCUAACUGCAUAUAGUUGUGAUACUUUUAGUGUUAGUGAUAUUUUUGCAUGCUUAUAUGUAGAUCACUAAUAUUAAUUGUUAAUAUUUUCUGCGAGGAGUUGUGUGAGUUUACUUGUACUCAAUGCUUACAUGUAUAGGACUUGUGAACUUUUCUUCAACUUUCCCUCGGGCUUGCGAAUAUCUUUGUAUGAUUGUCAUGAUUUUAGUUGUUAUAUGCUGAUCUGAUAAUUCUAUGAUAUUGCAUAGGCAAUUAUUAUUUUAUCUUAGUUAAAUUGUGAUCCAUGACAAUUAUAUGCCUAUUUGUUUCAUGAUUGACUUUGAUAGAAUAAUAGAAGCAUGAUUAAUUCAUUUUUGAAAUAUUUAAUUGGUAUGUAUUUCUGAUGCUUUAUUGAUGUUUUAUUUGUGAAUUGAUUGUGAUGUAUUGGCACUGGUGAAAUAUUGUUGCAUAUUUCUUAAAACCACUGGUGCUAAUAUAUUUUAGGUGUUUAAUAUUCUGAGUACAAGGGAGACAACAUAAUCUUUAUUCUGUCUCAUAUUUAUGUUCUGGAGUGGUGAGUUUCUUCAAAGAAAUUUUCUUAUCAAUUGAUUUCAACAAUUGGUAUCCACUACUCUAUUUCAUAAAUAUUUCUUAGAAUAUUUUGCAUCUAUACAUGUAGCGUCAUAGGACGAGACAUUGAUUAUCUUGUAUUUGUGUACUUGGUGAUCUUUGUCACUUGCAGCGUCUGUUUUGACGAUGUGCUAGUAUGAGGCCUUUUCACUAAUUAGUGUGGCGAGUGCUUUAUACACUGUAGCGCAUAAAUUUUUCUUGUUUUCUUUUUAAAAUUGUAGUGAGAAACAGGAGUCUGUGUCUUUUUCAAAGACAAGUUCAUUUAAACCUUUUAUGCAUAGAUUCAGACUCUCGUACUCAAACCAGUUUUUAAUGGAAAACUUUGAUUCUUUCAUCGGUUGUGAUUGUCAUUCUUUAUGAAAAUUAUUUUUACAAUCACAACUAAUUCAUUUUUCCUCAAAAGAUUAAAUGCAAUUGCUCUCAUUCAAAAUCAUAGAUUUUCUAAAAUGCAUUUAUAUCUCCUUCUGUUCUUCGGAACUUAAUCAACCUCUUGGCUUUCCUAGAUAGUCAUAAGGUUGAAAACCAACAAUCUUUAUCCCAGACUAUAAAACCAAAUUCAGAACACAUCCCAACUUUCCCCCUGGAGUAAUAAGGAACUUAUUAGACUAGAGGUCAAUGAGGGAGAAACUGUACUUGUUGCAGCAAAUAAGGAUGUGAGGGAUAGUGUACCCACAGCUCUACCUCUCAAGAAGAAAAGGUGUUUUCAAACUUGAGGUAACUGUUGCUCAUCUGUAUUCUCUCAAAAGAAUAUAGAGCUGAAAAGGCAAUAAAACAGUCUCUGGAAUCAUUCUCUCAACAGGAUGAGUCCAUUGAAAUUCGCUCGUCAGCCAGAGCAUCUUGUAUUGAGUCAAGCACAUCAUCAGUAAUCACUCUGAUGAAGAGCCUAAACAAAAAAUCUUAUGGACACAAUACAAGAGAGUGCACAGUAAGGUUAAAGGUUUUGUUCCAGAAGCAACUUCUUCAUUUACCAUUUUACGGUAGAUAAGAUGGUUGAUGCCUUUACAGGUGUAAGGAGGAAACGAGGAUCUCAAUUGCCAAAUCUUCAGGAUUCUCGUCUCCCUCCCCAGAUAAGAACAGAUCUGGAUCCAAUCGGAAUGGAUUUCCUAUUUAUAGGAGAUCGGCAACUCUCUGACUAUGAGUCAAUUUAUUGAUGAGUCAGUUGAGGAUCGGGGAUUUACGAAACCCCAUUGCACCGCCAGUGACCUCUCUUGAAGGGGCUAUGGUGAUUUUCUCAUGCAGGUACAGAAGACCAUACUUUGAGUGCUGAGAGAAACACUGUGAGCCAAACACUGAGAGUUAAACACUUGGUGAGAUUCUGAGAAGAACCAGUGAGAUAUCAGAAUGAGAAAUAUGUGAGCAUGAGUGAGUGCAAACACAUAGGAUAUUGAGAAGAGUGAAACACUUGUGAGGUACAUAUAAUAAUAAUUGGUAUUGAAAGCUCACAAGUUGUUGAAAGAAUUGACGGAAGCAACUACGGUUCAUUCCAUUUCACGGUGUGAACUUAUGGUUGAUGAUUCUCUUGAAUCAAGUGUCUUCACAGACAUUGAGGAGGACUUAGGCCUUUGCCAUAAUUAAGCCUUUGUCUAACCUCCCAGAGCAAACAACUCUGGAUCCUUAAUUGGAUAAGCCACUUAGUGGUUGGCAACUUGUGGACCAUGAUUCGGAUUUAUCUGAUGAGUCUGCAGGGACUGGGAAUUACGAACUCCCAUUGCACCACCGGUGACCCCCUUUAAGGGUGGCUAAGGUGAUUUUCUUGCAGGUACUCAGCAUUUUGGAAGCUCAGUAUUUGUGUGGAGGGAUACACUUACAGAACUCGUGAGUGACACCCUUACCCAAAAACCGAGAGAAAAUUGAGUGUUGAGUGAUACACCUGCAGAACAUUUUAGUGAGACACCCACUAAUUACCAAAUUUAUACCUAAAGACAAAGUGGAUGUUGUUACUGGAAUGUCAGUUUUUAUUCCUUACUUUUCCGUUUGGAACCUAUUCUUUCAGCAUAGGGACCAACCCAAUCAAAGUAAACCCUUCUUCUGAACUCUUUCUUCGACCCCAGCUUUAGCGUUGUUUAGUUCUCUAUGGGGAGAUUAUCUUUUGGUACAGGAAGUAUUGUACACGUUCCUUGACCUAUUUGAUACCACAUAUCCUCGGAGGAUUCCACAACUAAGGGGGAGAAUAUAUUUAGGGGGAGAAUAUAUGAAAGGGGGAAGAAAAAGUAAGUUAGCUUUCUUCUGCUGUCUACAACUAAGGGGGAUUAAACUACUCUUUAGCUGUGUACUACUGAGGGGGAGAUUCUUCUUUCAACUAAGGAGGAGGAUUGAUCUUUCAUCUAAGGGGAGACAACUACUUAUCACUAAGGGGAACCUGAUCAAGGUAACGGGAGGAGAAGUAUAAGGUGAUACAUUUAUUCUUCAGUAAGUGGUAGACAUGAACUUAUUCAUUACCACUGAAGAAUUCAAUGAAGCUGCUGAUUGUUCUUUGCAUAAUGGAAUGUUUUGAAUUCUCUUCAAGACAGACUAUGAGGAUUAUCUGGCAGGUAAGCAAGAACCAGAGAAAUAAAGGUGAUAUGCACAUCUGUUAUUUCUAUUCAUGAAAUCUGGAAAUGUAUUAUAUGAUCCAGAAACUUUGUAGCAUUAUUUACUAGUCCAGGACUUUACUUUUUCUAGUGUUAGUUGAGUUAUCCUCCAGAGGAUUUGCUUGUUAUGAUUAACAAACAAAUAGGGGGAUAUUGUAAGUCUAAAUGUAAAGACAACCCUAUCUGUUACAUAGGGAUGAUAACUCAACAAUAGAACAGGACAAGUAAAUAACACUACGCCUGCACCGGAAUCGGAAGAUACGAAGACAAAGGUUGAAGAAGCCAUCUACAGUCUUGAAGGAAUAAGUUCACUGGAAGAAGUUCAUUAAUAUGUUCAUGCCUCAGUGAAGAAUAAAGAUUGAAGUAUUCAAGAUUGUGGAAGCAAUGAAGAUGUUGUCCAAGUACUCGAAAGAUUUCAGUGCAACCCCUGAAGCAAGAUAUUUCUAUAUAUCUUGGUUGGUUAUUUAUAAUCAACAAACUGAAGCAUAAACUAACCCGGAACCGACUGAUCAAUGUUUGCUGACAAAGACGGUACAAUGUUUGACUUCAGUGUUAGUCGCUUGUGAACCAGACCAGUGCACUAAGCGUCAGCACGUACGGAGUUUGCAAAGUAUUUAUCAAUCGAAGAAUUGAUCAAGUCAUAACAAGUCAUUUGUUCCAAACUCAAGCCAAGCCAAAUGCCUAGCCUCUGCAAGCUGUAUCAAGUCUCUGCUCAAAUGUCAUAUGUCAAGCUUCCACACAAAGCCAUAUCAGGAAGUGACCUAUCUUUUAUAUGUGUGCACUUAUAUAUUUGUAUAUGUACAAAUAUAUUUAUAUAUAUGUAUAUAUGUAUAUUUAAUUAAAUAUAAUAUAUAUAAUAUAUAUGUAUAUUUUUUUUUAAACAUAUGUAUAUGUAUAUUUAUAUGUAUGUAUAUUUAAAUAAAUAUAUAUGUAUAUAGUAUAUGUAUUUAUAUUUUACAUAAGCAAUUAUAUAAUUAAGUGUAUAUAUAUAUUAUAUUAUGUGCAUAAAUAUAUGUAUAUUUAGAGAGAGUUAUAUAUAUCUUUAUAUAUAUAUUUAUAUUUAUAUUUACACAUAGUUAUAUGUAUAUUAUAUAUAUUUAAAUAUAUGAGAAUAUAUUUAAAUAUAUGUGUAUAUAUAUGUUACUAUAUGUUUAUAUAAAUAUUAUAUAUAUGUAUAUAUUUAUAUAUACUUUUCUUUAUAUAUAUUUAUGUUUAUAUUUAUAUUUAUAAAUAACUAUAUAUAUCUCUAUAUAUAUUUAUAUAUAUAUUUACAUUUGUAUUUACAUAUAAUUAUAUAUUAUAUAUAUUUAAAUAUAUGAGAAUAUAUUUAAAUAUAUGUACAUAUAUUAUUAUAUGUUCAUAUAAAUAAAAUAUAUAUGUGUGUAUAUAUUUAUAUAUAUUUUUAUUUAUUAAUAUAAUAACAACAUAAUAUAUUAUAUUAUAUAUAUUAUGCAUGCAUGUGAUGAUGUCAGGUGUCUAGGGCAACCUAGGGUUUGCAUGUGAGGGAGAAGAGAUAACAGUGGAGCUCUCCACUGUAGGGGCGCAACUUUGAAGACUGAAGAUUUCUCCUAAGUGCUCAACCUCAGUGUACCCUGUGAGAAGAAAGAAUCAGGCGCCAAGUUUGACUGAAAGUCAAAACUUGCGCUUGGUUUCUUCUUUGGAAAAGUGACUAAGUGAAGCAAUCACUGUACAGAUGAAUGGAGCGCAACAUUUGACCUAAAAAGUCAAAUGUUGCGCCUCCUGUCCAUACACUCACCUUCACACAAUUUUUACUUAGAAUUUUCUAAGUGAGGGCAACACAGUGGGGUUGGAGCGCAACCUUUGACCAAGUCAAAGGUUGCGACUCUAAACUGUAUCCAAGGCGCAAGUUUGUGGAGUGUUGUAUUUCUCUAAGUCAAAAACACUGUGAGGCACUCCUGGCGCAACUUCAAGGGAAGCGCAAAGUUUGACCAAAGCGCAAACUUUGACUUUCCUUUGUUCAACUGUUUUGGCGCAACUCUGCUAUACAUAUUCAUAUAUAUAUAUAUGUAUAUGUAAUUGGCGCCAACACUAGUAUGUUUGGGAGUUAGAUUUAUUUUGUUAAAUCGAAUCCGUCCAGGACGAACUCAAGUCGUCCAGGACGAACUCGUUAACCAUGGUUAGUUUAUGAAAGCCUAUAAAUAUGUGAUUGUGGUUCUCACAAUUCACAUCAUCCUUCGGGAUGGAUGGCCAAGUGCUAUGCACAAACUCUCUCAAAUAUACACACACCCUAGCCUAGUUUUGUACCAUAAAUAUUUGUAGUGGAUAGGGCUUGUAAUAUUUAGAGGAGUGGUCAUUGUAGCCAACCUUCGGGUUUGGAUUUGUAGCACCUUCGAGGUAUUUAUCAAUAUACAGAUAUACCUUGGAAAAUAUUGUGUGUUGGUUUAAUAUUUUCAUAUCCUCAGAAACUGACCCAAUAAAUAUCCGGAACACGAAACACAUUACAGGACUGCAAUUUAUUUAUCCGCAAGAUUCGAAAGAAUUUUAAAUUGUAGUGAGUAUCGUAUUCAACCCCCCCUUCUACGAUACUUUGG